CAUAUUGGAAGGCAUGGAGAUAAGAACAGCAAUGUGCCAUUCCUUGAACUUAGCCAACCUGUUAUUUACUUUGCCAACAAACUCUAAUCAUUUACAAUUCUUUAUUCCUCCCAGGCUUGGAACAAAUGCUGUGGAUCUCCCUUCAACUGCAUUAAUAAAAGGCUUGGAACAAAUGAUGUGGAUCUCCCUUCAAAUGCAUUAAUAAAGGCACCAGAAGAUUUUUACCCCAUAGCAACUUUGCUCCAUUCAUAACAGAAGGGGAAUAUAAUCAUGAUGACAAUUUUGUUUUUGUAGAUCAGUAGAUAUUUUUAUUCUCCACCAACCCAUAACUUUGCACGAUUGAACGGAUGAAAUCCUAUAUUAUGUGCACGUAUGGCUGGUCAGAAUCGGUGGUUUUGCCAAGUGCAAGACGUCAGAUAUGAUGUGAUUAAAGAAAUAUAUGAAGAUCAUCAUUUUCCAGGACAUGUUUGAGGUAUUGGGAAAACCACACACACAUGUACACAACUUAUAUCUGCAUUGCAAAAUUGACUUUAAUAAUCUCUCGUGACUUCCUUGGAACAAACAAUCUUGAUGGGAGACAAGACACGUAAUAGG
This is a long non-coding RNA of Ipomoea nil (Japanese morning glory), 594 nucleotides long. RefSeq lists it as uncharacterized. NCBI's taxonomy places the organism in Eukaryota, Viridiplantae, Streptophyta, Magnoliopsida, Solanales, Convolvulaceae. The transcript is spliced from 3 exons. The record is from RefSeq and is a predicted model, not a curated record.